UACGGAGGAUCCGAGCGUUAUCCGGAUUUAUUGGGUUUAAAGGGUGCGUAGGCGGGAGAUUAAGUCGGUGGUGAAAUUUUGCAGCUCAACUGUAAAAGUGCCAUUGAUACUGGUUUCCUUGAGUGUGGAUGAAGUAGGCGGAAUUUGUGGCGUAGCGGUGAAAUGCAUAGAUAUCACGAGGAACUCCGAUUGCGCAGGCAGCUUACUAAACCAUAACUGACGCUCAGGCACGAAGGCGUGGGGAUCAAACAGGAUUAGAUACCCU
Molecule: ribosomal RNA, 265 nt
Filed under: uncultured prokaryote
Description: partial 16S ribosomal RNA
Rfam family: Bacterial small subunit ribosomal RNA
Source: RNAcentral